UCAGAAUGAUGAGAUUCCACUUCAUUGGUCCGUGUUUCUGAAAAGCAUGAUAAUUGUGGAGAUUCUGAUUGA
Ochotona princeps (American pika) is the source of this 72-nucleotide small nucleolar RNA. Its record names the gene SNORD18. It matches the Rfam family "Small nucleolar RNA SNORD18". From Rfam's summary of the family: U18 is a member of the C/D class of snoRNA which contain the C (UGAUGA) and D (CUGA) box motifs. It is encoded in introns of ribosomal protein L1 in Xenopus and human, and in introns of elongation factor 1 beta in yeast. Related snoRNAs in Arabidopsis and rice have been named R63 and Z106 respectively. Lineage: Eukaryota; Metazoa; Chordata; Mammalia; Lagomorpha; Ochotonidae. The record is from Ensembl.